Aedes aegypti (yellow fever mosquito) is the source of this 1587-nucleotide long non-coding RNA. RefSeq lists it as uncharacterized. Lineage: Eukaryota; Metazoa; Arthropoda; Insecta; Diptera; Culicidae. The transcript is spliced from 3 exons. The record is from RefSeq and is a predicted model, not a curated record.
CUGUCCGCGCUCACAAAAAACUCUGCGCCUGUGGUAAGGUUGUGUUACGUUAAAGAAAUUAUAAGCUAUUUUUGUUAUGUGUGCAUACCUUAAAGUUCAAACGGUUACAUAAAAACUCACUGGGAACCUGCAUGCCGCUGGGCGUACUAGUUUGAAAUCAAGCACAAUACACGGAGUUUGCUUGUCAACAUCAACCAUCGCAUCCGGUCUUCCUUUCACAUCAACGCUGGACAGCGAAAACGAAAAGCGAACGAGUAGUGAAGUGACUGUCAAAGAGUCAGCACGCUGCUGACUAGAGCGAAAUCGGCCUCCAGUGCAAAAACGGUCAAUCGCAACCGGGAAAACCAUCUGCUUGCACGGCAUAGUGCAACGAAUUCGCACAAGGUGAAUCUAAAGCCUGAACAUGACAAUCAUCACCACAUGCUAAGGUGUAAUCCCGCAAUUAUUAGACCAUCGCCAUACUGAGCCGGCGGCACACGAUUUCCCCAAUCCACGAAGAACACACGUGCACCAUCCGGAACAAAGCGCCGAAGCAGCUCCAAACCAACAACCUAACCAACAAUUCCCGACGCCGUCAGACUCCGAGUUCGAAACAGAGAAAGGACUAGCUCCAACAAGCGACAGUGCCAGUCGGAACAGUCCGAAUUAGAAUCGCGUCUCGUGCAUGCGGCACCCGACACAGGAAGGAUUCCGGGUAUCACGCAGUCCACCAGUUGCGCAAAAUAGGACACCACCGCACUGUAUUGCAACAAAAAUCAUCGGUGAGUAAUGCCCGGCAACAAUGAGAGAUGCGAAUUAACGAGAUGCUUUUCUGUCAAAUUCAGUCAGAUCAAAAGGGCACGUAAAUAAUCCCCGAAGAAGGCCGACACUCUCCAGAUUGGCAUCCGGUUGCCCUCAUAAGCUGUGUGGAAUCGAAAAGCCUUCGUUACGAAGGCUUUUCUUUUUUAUUUCACAGCCUGUGAUCUUUCGUAGCGGAGACAUCUCGGACGGUGGGGAGUUUUGGUUGGUGUAGCAUUGUACGUGACGGAUCGGAGCAAGCGUUCACCACUGUGCGAAGUGCGACAGCAGCUUGGGUUCGAUAGGGAAGGACCACUUCUUCCAGCUCAGAGGCCACCAGACAAGAUAAGGAAGUACUCCGAGAAGCGGCGUCGAACGUAAGAGACCGGAGCAACGUUCACCGGCGUGUGAAGCGCGAUAGAAGUUUGGAUCGCUUUGGAAAGGACCAUUUCUUCCGGCUCAGAGGCCGCCUGUCAGGAUAGACAAUCACUCCGAGGAGCGAGGCGCCACCGCCGCAAUUUCGCUGGCGACCUCUUUUGAAGAUUUGUCGGAGCAGCGUCACGCUCGUUUCUGGCCCACACCCAGAGACAUGGAUGCCUCAAGGAAGCAGCGAGAAAGCAGGGUGCACCCAUGCAGGCGCGCGUGAGUACUAAUAUGACAAGAAGAAAAGAAGAGUGAAGAAGUAUUAGCUUAGUAGAUAGGGACUAGUAGGAGAGAAUAAGUGAUGUCCAAGUAGAUGUAAUAAAAGGUUUGCACACUAAAUAUUCUAGUUUGUGGCGUUUUCAUGUUGCUAGCCGGUCCGAUCGAAGC